GACGAACGCUGGCGGCGUGCUUAACACAUGCAAGUCGAACGGAAAGGCCCUGCUUGCCGGGUACUCGAGUGGCGAACGGGUGAGUAACACGUGGGUGAUCUGCCCUGCACUUCGGGAUAAGCCUGGGAAACUGGGUCUAAUACCGGAUAGGAGACAUUUUUAGUGUGAUGGUUGGAAAGUUUUUUUCGGUGUAGGAUGAGCUCGCGGCCUAUCAGCUUGUUGGUGGGGUAAUGGCCUACCAAGGCGGCGACGGGUAGCCGGCCUGAGAGGGUGGACGGCCACAUUGGGACUGAGAUACGGCCCAGACUGCGACGGGAGGCAGCAGGGGGGAAGAUUGCACAAUGGGCGCAAGCCGGAUGCAGCGACGCCGCGUGGGGGAUGACGGCCUUAGGGUUGUAAACGCCUUUCGCUAGGGACGAAGCUUUUUGUGACGGUACCUAGAUAAGAAGCACCGGCUAACUACGUG
Molecule: ribosomal RNA, 466 nt
Filed under: uncultured bacterium
Lineage: Bacteria
Description: partial 16S ribosomal RNA
Rfam family: Bacterial small subunit ribosomal RNA
Source: RNAcentral